This is a long non-coding RNA of Drosophila ficusphila, 242 nucleotides long. RefSeq lists it as uncharacterized. NCBI's taxonomy places the organism in Eukaryota, Metazoa, Arthropoda, Insecta, Diptera, Drosophilidae. The record is from RefSeq and is a predicted model, not a curated record. The transcript is spliced from 2 exons.
CUGAUCAGUCAACUGACCACGAAGAUGGCAGACCUAAUCACCCAAUUCGGAAAAUUGAGUGAAAAGGGCUUUCACUCACCUGCAGGGGGGGUAUCACCCCUUCGUCCCAGUGCCGAGCCGACGCUACUGGAGCCAGAGAGAUUCUGGGGUCCAGGGAAGACCUCCGCACACUGAUGUCGCACACGCGGAUCACAACGUAGGAAACUUGUUUUCGCGCACUCGAAUAUAAAACACGUCCGGUA